GCCCGGGUGCUGGAACUGGAAUACAGGAUCGGCUCAAAACCGAUUGCCCGUGAGGGAUUGUGGGUUCGAAUCCCACCCCGGGUA
This 84-nucleotide transfer RNA is filed under the name Solirubrobacteraceae bacterium. RNAcentral's name for it is "tRNA-Leu". It matches the Rfam family "tRNA". From Rfam's summary of the family: Transfer RNA (tRNA) molecules are approximately 80 nucleotides in length. Their secondary structure includes four short double-helical elements and three loops (D, anti-codon, and T loops). Further hydrogen bonds mediate the characteristic L-shaped molecular structure. tRNAs have two regions of fundamental functional importance: the anti-codon, which is responsible for specific mRNA codon recognition, and the 3' end, to which the tRNAs corresponding amino acid is attached (by aminoacyl-tRNA synthetases). tRNAs cope with the degeneracy of the genetic code in two manners: having more than one tRNA (with a specific anti-codon) for a particular amino acid; and 'wobble' base-pairing, i.e. permitting non-standard base-pairing at the 3rd anti-codon position. Lineage: Bacteria; Bacillati; Actinomycetota; Thermoleophilia; Solirubrobacterales; Solirubrobacteraceae. The record is from RNAcentral. RNAcentral also lists the same sequence under 3 other names.